This 775-nucleotide ribosomal RNA is filed under the name uncultured Neocallimastigales. RNAcentral describes it as "partial large subunit ribosomal RNA". It matches the Rfam family "Eukaryotic large subunit ribosomal RNA", at positions 22 to 644 of the family's 3401-position model. The record is from RNAcentral. Lineage: Eukaryota; Fungi; Neocallimastigomycota; Neocallimastigomycetes; Neocallimastigales.
GUACACGCUGUGACUAGCAUAUCAAUAAGCGGAGGAAAAGAAACUAACAAGGAUUCCCCUAGUAACGGCGAGUGAAGCGGGAAGAGCUCAAAUUUGAAAUCUUAAAGGGUUUCCCUUUACGAAUUGUAGUUUAAAGAAGUGUUUUCUGUUGAGGUUUUGGUAAAAGUUCUUUGGAAUAGGACAUCAUAGAGGGUGAGAAUCCCGUAUUUGACCUUUACUUUCAACUUUGUGAUACACUUUCAAAGAGUCGGAUUGUUUGGGAAUGCAGUCCAAAAUGGGUGGUAAAUUUCAUCUAAAGCUAAAUAUUGGCGAGAGACCGAUAGCGAACAAGUACCGUGAGGGAAAGAUGAAAAGAACUUUGAAAAGAGAGUUAAACAGUACGUGAAAUUGUCAAAAGGGAAGCGUUUGACACCAGUGUUGUUUUUCUGAAAAUCAAUUAAAGAACUGUUUAUGCUAAGCUGUUUAGACUUUAUCAGCUAUACUGUUUAGUUUUGAGCUUUUCUUUAAUGCACUUUUCAGUUAACAAGUCAACAUCAAUUUCUUUUGCUGUAAAAAAGCUUGAGGAAGGUGGCUUGAGAUUCGUCUUAAGUGUUUAUAGCCUCUUGCCUAUGCAGUCGGAGAGAUUGAGGUCUGCAGCGUAGAUCCUUCGGGGCUAAAUGCAUUUGUGCUAAGUUAUAGCAUUUUAUAGACAACUUGUUGACUAUGAUUUGUCUUGUAGCUUACUCGCUUAUGUUAUUUUACCUACGCUUAGGAUGUUGACUGAUAUGUAGUCGUA